RNAcentral lists this ribosomal RNA (292 nucleotides) under uncultured bacterium. Its description in RNAcentral is "partial 16S ribosomal RNA". It matches the Rfam family "Bacterial small subunit ribosomal RNA", at positions 505 to 796 of the family's 1533-position model. The record is from RNAcentral.
GUGUCAGCAGCCGCGGUAAUACGUAGGGACCGAGCGUUGUCCGGAUUCAUUGGGCGUAAAGAGCUCGUAGGCGGCCACUCAAGUCGAACGUGAAAACUCGGGGCUCAACCCCGAGCCCGCGUUCGAUACUGGGCGGCUAGAGUCUGGUAGGGGGAUCUGGAAUUCCUGGUGUAGCGGUGGAAUGCGCAGAUAUCAGGAGGAACACCGGUGGCGAAGGCGGGAUCCUGGGCCAGUACUGACGCUGAGGAGCGAAAGCGUGGGGAGCAAACAGGAUUAGAUACCCCCGUAGUCC